RNAcentral lists this transfer RNA (93 nucleotides) under Anaeromonas frigoriresistens. Its description in RNAcentral is "tRNA-Ser". It matches the Rfam family "tRNA". Rfam says of the family: Transfer RNA (tRNA) molecules are approximately 80 nucleotides in length. The record is from RNAcentral. Lineage: Bacteria; Bacillati; Bacillota; Tissierellia; Tissierellales; Thermohalobacteraceae.
GGAGAGAUGGCUGAGUCUGGCUGAAGGCGCUCGCCUGGAAAGCGGGUAGGCGGCAACCCCGUCUCGGGGGUUCGAAUCCCCCUCUCUCCGCCA